CAAAUUAGAGCUUGAAUGAAGCAUUUUAGUUACAUUAAAAAGUUAAUUGUUUAAUCAAUUUAAUUUGA
Molecule: transfer RNA, 68 nt
Filed under: Longitarsus candidulus
Lineage: Eukaryota; Metazoa; Arthropoda; Insecta; Coleoptera; Chrysomelidae
Description: tRNA-Val
Source: RNAcentral